Molecule: ribosomal RNA, 380 nt
Filed under: uncultured bacterium
Lineage: Bacteria
Description: bacterial SSU rRNA
Rfam family: Bacterial small subunit ribosomal RNA
Source: RNAcentral
GACGAACGCUGGCGGCGUGCUUAACACAUGCAAGUCGAGCGGUAAGGCCCUUUUGGGGGUACGACGAGCGGCGAACGGGUGAGUAACACGUGGGUGACCUGCCCUCAGCUCUGGGAUAAGCCUGGGAAACUGGGUCUAAUACUGGAUAUGACCUUUCCUCGCAUGGGGUUGGGUGGAAAGUUUUUCGGCUGGGGAUGGCCCGCGGCCUAUCAGCUUGUUGGUGGGGUGAUGGCCUACCAAGGCGACGACGGUAGCCGGCCUGAGAGGCGACCGGCCACACUGGACUGAGACACGGCCCAGACUCCUACGGAGGCAGCAGUGGGAAGUAUUGCGCAAUGGGCGGAAGCCUGACGCAGCGACGCCGCGUGGGGAUGACGGCC